GCGUGAGUGAUGAAGGCCUUCGGGUUGUAAAGCUCUUUUGGCGGGGACGAUGAUGACGGUACCCGCAGAAUAAGCCCCGGCUAACUUCGUGCCAGCAGCCGCGGUAAGACGAAGGGGGCAAGCGUUGUUCGGAAUUACUGGGCGUAAAGGGCGCGUAGGCGGUCCGAUCAGUCAGGCGUGAAAGCCCUGGGCUUAACCUGGGAGGUGCGCUUGAUACUGUCGGGCUUGAGUGUGGGAGAGGAUGGUGGAAUUCCCAGUGUAGAGGUGAAAUUCGU
This 275-nucleotide ribosomal RNA is filed under the name uncultured bacterium. RNAcentral's name for it is "partial 16S ribosomal RNA". It matches the Rfam family "Bacterial small subunit ribosomal RNA", at positions 399 to 691 of the family's 1533-position model. The record is from RNAcentral.